UGUCCGCAACGACGAAGAGCUCAACAAGCUUUUAGGCGGUGUUACCAUCGCCCAGGGCGGAGUGCUUCCAAACAUCCAGGCAGUGCUGCUGCCCAAGAAAACCGAGAAGCCAGCCAAGAGCAAGUAACGGAGCUUUGCGAUCAUGGACAAUGACAUAAACGCAGCUCGGCUAGUUUGAGCCCAAACGCACUCCCUCACACAAGAAGAGAUCUACACCACCACUGGCUAUAAAUGGCCAUGGGACGUUUAACCUGCCAUCACGGUGGACUAUCCUUACUGAAAAAAAAAACUCCAUUUGUGGGAUGAAUGAACAUCAGUAUUUCAUCGUAUAUGGACCAAUGUUGGUUACAUUUUAUUUGUCACUGCUUUAAAUUACAUGCAAGUCAUGUCAGUUAUCUGCUGUUUAAGUGAUUAUGUUGUUUCAAUAAAUGUUGAGUGCCAGUGGAAGGCACAAAGAA
This is a long non-coding RNA of Sinocyclocheilus anshuiensis, 458 nucleotides long. RefSeq lists it as uncharacterized. NCBI's taxonomy places the organism in Eukaryota, Metazoa, Chordata, Actinopteri, Cypriniformes, Cyprinidae. The record is from RefSeq and is a predicted model, not a curated record. The transcript has 2 exons.